RNAcentral lists this unclassified non-coding RNA (1154 nucleotides) under Hevea brasiliensis (rubber tree). Lineage: Eukaryota; Viridiplantae; Streptophyta; Magnoliopsida; Malpighiales; Euphorbiaceae. The record is from RNAcentral.
AAACCUUGGUUUCUCCAAUUCCCAAAUCCAGUCUGCUGCGCGUCGAUCACCCCCAAUUCUCUUCGCUAAUCUUGACAACACCCUUAAACCAAAAAGUAAGCUUUUUCAGGAUUUGGGUCCUUUGGGUUAUGACCUGGGUAAGUUCAUUUCCAAGAGUCCCCAUUUUUAACUGCAAGUUUGAAGAAAAAGUUGGUUCCUUGUAUUGAAAUCUUGAAGAAACAUUUGUUGAAUGAUAAGGAUAAUGAGGUUUUGCUGAAGGUUGUAAGUAGGUACUUUUGGAUUGUUCCCCACAAAAACCCUGAAUCGAGAUUGUUAUCCUGCGUAGCCUACUUUGAUAGUUGUGGGAUAGUUGGGUCUCAGAUCUCUGUGCUGUUAAUUACGCGGCCUCGGCUUCUUCUGUGCCUAGAAUACUUGCUUAGAGACUUUGUUUCUCGAACUUUGAAUAUGGGAUUCUCAGCCAAUUCGAGGAUGACAGUUCAUGGUUUAAUUGCUGUUCUUGCUCAAGUGACAAGACAAUCGAGAGAAACUAUGGAAUUUUUAGGAGUUUUCCGAGUAUCAAUGCAGAAAAAUAUUUAGAAAGGCUCCAUAUUAGUUUGCUAACAACCUCUGCGGAGAAGUUGAAGUUGGGAAUUAAUUUCUGUUUGAGCACAAUGAAGUUUAAAAAGUUGACAAUAGUUUGAAACUCUGUAAUUUUGAUGCCGAGAAUGGAAGAAAGGGUUAUUCCUCCAGUCAGAGUGUUGGAGAUAUUGAAAUCAAAGAAAUUAAUUAAGAAGGAACCAAGCUUUAUUAAGGCGUUCUUUGUGACAGAGAAGGUGUUUGUGCAGAAGUUUAUAUCAAGUUUUCCAGAUGAUGCAGGGGAAUUGUUGUUAGCUUGCCAAGGUCGUAACCUGGCGUCAUCUUCAAAAUAAUGAAAUUAUUUUUAUUGGAUUUGUAAUGUUUCUCAUUAAAAAUUAGUUUAUUGGCUGCAACUUUCUUGUACUUAAACAGCCUAGAAGGUAACGUGCUUUGGGCCAGCUUAACAUUGGCUGCAGUUGACUGCAUCUUAAUAUGAGUGGUUUUUCUCCAGUAAGCUUCACAAAUCUGAAUCUGUCGGUAAUAGAUAUAAGAGAUUUUGCUUGGAGGAUGCAUGGUGCUGUUAAUUACUGCAGUUUAUC